UCUGAAACGGGGCGUGGAUACAGAGAAGCCUCGGUUUCAGA
Molecule: small RNA, 41 nt
Filed under: Xyrichtys novacula (pearly razorfish)
Lineage: Eukaryota; Metazoa; Chordata; Actinopteri; Labriformes; Labridae
Rfam family: MAT2A 3'UTR stem loop D
Source: RNAcentral